Carassius carassius (crucian carp) is the source of this 581-nucleotide non-coding RNA. NCBI's taxonomy places the organism in Eukaryota, Metazoa, Chordata, Actinopteri, Cypriniformes, Cyprinidae. The record is from the annotation of a RefSeq genome assembly.
GCAGAGAGAAAUCAACACAAAUCAUGUUCCCGACAUCUUUACUGCUGCUUUUGGCAGCAAUGUCCUGUGUGGAGUGUAAUAUUGUCCUGACGCAGACAAACUCUAUAGUUCUGCAGCCGGGACACUCACUGACUCUCACAUGUGAGGUGUCUGGAUACUCUGUUACUGAUGAUAGCUACGCAACAGCCUGGAUACGACAUCCCGCAGGAAAAGCUCUGGAGUGGAUUGUGCACAUAUGGGGAGGUGGAAGCAUAACAAAAAAAGACUCACUAUCAAACAAGUUCAGCAUCUCCAAAAGUGACUCCAGCAACACAGUGACUCUUAAAGGACAAAAUCUACAGACUGAAGACACAGCUGUGUAUUACUGUGCCAGAAGACCACAACAUGAGAAAACAGCACAAGCUCUGCAGCCUCCUGGAAAAGCCUUGGAGUAUAUCGGGAUCAUAUGGGGCGGUGGGUCAGUAGACUCUGGGAAUUCCUUCAAGAGUCGCUUCACUAUUUCUAGAGACACGAGCCAAAAUGAGCUGUAUUUAGCUGUGUAUUACUGUGCAAAGACAGACACAGUGGAUCAGUAUCAGUAG